This 550-nucleotide ribosomal RNA is filed under the name uncultured bacterium. RNAcentral's name for it is "bacterial SSU rRNA". It matches the Rfam family "Bacterial small subunit ribosomal RNA", at positions 355 to 896 of the family's 1533-position model. The record is from RNAcentral.
UAGGGAAUCUUCGGCAAUGGACGGAAGUCUGACCGAGCAACGCCGCGUGAGUGAAGAAGGUUUUCGGAUCGUAAAGCUCUGUUGUAAGAGAAGAACGAGUGUGAGAGUGGAAAGUUCACACUGUGACGGUAUCUUACCAGAAAGGGACGGCUAACUACGUGCCAGCAGCCGCGGUAAUACGUAGGUCCCGAGCGUUGUCCGGAUUUAUUGGGCGUAAAGCGAGCGCAGGCGGUUAGAUAAGUCUGAAGUUAAAGGCUGUGGCUUAACCAUAGUACGCUUUGGAAACUGUUUAACUUGAGUGCAAGAGGGGAGAGUGGAAUUCCAUGUGUAGCGGUGAAAUGCGUAGAUAUAUGGAGGAACACCGGUGGCGAAAGCGGCUCUCUGGCUUGUAACUGACGCUGAGGCUCGAAAGCGUGGGGAGCAAACAGGAUUAGAUACCCCGGUAGUCCACGCCGUAAACGAUGAGUGCUAGGUGUUAGACCCUUUCCGGGGUUUAGUGCCGCAGCUAACGCAUUAAGCACUCCGCCUGGGGAGUACGACCGCAAGGUUG